UACGGGGGGAGCAAGCGUUGUUCGGAUUUACUGGGCGUAAAGGGCGCGUAGGCGGUAGCACAAGUCAGUUGUGAAAUCUCCGGGCUUAACUCGGAAAGGUCAACUGAUACUGUGCGACUAGAGUGCAGAAGGGGCAACUGGAGUUCUCGGUGUAGCGGUGAAAUGCGUAGAUAUCGAGAGGAACACCUGCGGCGAAGGCGGGUUGCUGGGCUGACACUGACGCUGAGGCGCGAAAGCCAGGGGAGCGAACGGG
Molecule: ribosomal RNA, 253 nt
Filed under: uncultured bacterium
Lineage: Bacteria
Description: partial 16S ribosomal RNA
Rfam family: Bacterial small subunit ribosomal RNA
Source: RNAcentral